RNAcentral lists this ribosomal RNA (253 nucleotides) under uncultured bacterium. Its description in RNAcentral is "partial 16S ribosomal RNA". It matches the Rfam family "Bacterial small subunit ribosomal RNA", at positions 524 to 776 of the family's 1533-position model. The record is from RNAcentral.
UACGAAGGGAGCUAGCGUUGUUCGGAAUCACUGGGCGUAAAGCGCACGUAGGCGGAUGUGUCAGUCAGGGGUGAAAUCCCGGAGCUCAACUUCGGAACUGCCCUUGAUACAGCACGUCUUGAGUCCGGAAGAGGUGGGUGGAAUUCCUAGUGUAGUGGUGAAAUGCGUAGAUAUCGGGGGGAACACCAGUGGCGAAGGCGGCUUCCUGGGGUGUACCUGACGCUGAGGCGCGAAAGCGUGGGGAGCGAACAGG